UACGAAGGGGGCGAGCGUUGUUCGGAUUUACUGGGCGUAAAGGGCGCGCAGGCGGCUCUGCAAGUCAGAUGUGAAAGCCCCGGGCUCAACCUGGGAAUUGCAUUCGAGACUGCGUAGCUAGGGUGCGGAAGAGGGAAGCGGAAUUUCCGGUGUAGCGGUGAAAUGCGUAGAUAUCGGAAGGAACACCAGUGGCGAAAGCGGCUUCCUGGUCCAGCACCGACGUUCAGGCACGAAAGCGUGGGGAGCAAACAGGG
RNAcentral lists this ribosomal RNA (254 nucleotides) under uncultured bacterium. RNAcentral describes it as "partial 16S ribosomal RNA". It matches the Rfam family "Bacterial small subunit ribosomal RNA", at positions 524 to 777 of the family's 1533-position model. The record is from RNAcentral.